This 253-nucleotide ribosomal RNA is filed under the name uncultured bacterium. Its description in RNAcentral is "partial 16S ribosomal RNA". It matches the Rfam family "Bacterial small subunit ribosomal RNA", at positions 524 to 776 of the family's 1533-position model. The record is from RNAcentral.
UACGGAGGGAGCUAGCGUUGUUCGGAAUUACUGGGCAUAAAGCGCACGUAGGCGGCUUUGUAAGUUAGAGGUGAAAGCCCGGAGCUCAACUCCGGAACUGCCUUUAAGACUGCAUCGCUUGAAUCCAGGAGAGGUGAGUGGAAUUCCGAGUGUAGAGGUGAAAUUCGUAGAUAUUCGGAAGAACACCAGUGGCGAAGGCGGCUCACUGGACUGGUAUUGACGCUGAGGUGCGAAAGCGUGGGGAGCAAACAGG